GUGCACCCCAUUCAUACAGAAUCAUCGAGAUAUCUGGUAGAUUGGGGGUUGAAAAUCAGCGAGAGGGAUCGGUGUACGGUAGCACCGUGGUACCGUGCGGUAUGACAAUCAGCGACACAGGUCGGAGAUGAUCGCCCCGUAUCUUGGGGUAAGCUGAUCAUAUAUAGGUAAUCAGGCGCGCUUUUCGUGACCCUACGGAUAGCUGGAGGUCACACAACAGUCAACAUGGCGGCUGGUUCGGAGGGUCCAGGACCUGGAAACUCUGUUCCAACUUUCAAGCAUAUUUAUUCCACGGAAACCAGUUCAACAGUUCAUUGAUGUCUGGAAAUGUGAACUGGCAGAAGUAGGGAAGCUGAUUCCACAGCAGAAGAUGAAGCUCAUCAUGCAUCACUGCUGUCCGUUUGUAUAGAGUCAACAUCCUUGGUCUGACUGAAGACUACAUGGCAUAUAGAAAAAUAUGACAUUGUGAUUGUCAGGUAGAUUGGUUGAAAAUACGGUGUCCUGAUGAAUUGUAGAAUGUUUCCGAAUAAGUCUCCUGACUAAAGCAUAUACUUGUCGUGAAUGUACAAUGUACAUGUAUUUUGUAUUUAUAUGUAGCACAAUAAGUCUGCUAAUACUAAGUGUUAUGUGAGUUUGCUUCUCCGAUUGGAGUACCGCAUAUACCUGUAUUUUUCGACAGUUUGAUAUGCAAUUAAAAAAAAAAACUGAUCAAAACUAAACUACACCUGAUAACUCUAUUGUUUCAAAUUUCUUUUGUGUGCAGUGUGUCCUAAUUAUAGGUUCAUAUUUCGAUGAUGCCUGAAAAAUAUACAUCCUUGAAUCUGUACAUCUGCAAUCACUGUAUAUAUGUAAAAGUUUGGGACCGAAUCUGUAAGCAGCUUGACCUACAUUUGUGUAUAUAGCUACAGUACAAUGUGAACUAGGCAGGAUUGUCUUGAGGAAGGUGACAGACGUUUAGACGUUUACCGAAAUGUUGGUGUGAAAUAAAGAAAGAGUUGACUAAUGUUAAUAAAAGAGCCUGUCAUUCAUGCA
This is a long non-coding RNA of Branchiostoma floridae (Florida lancelet), 1032 nucleotides long. RefSeq lists it as uncharacterized. The transcript is spliced from 2 exons. The record is from RefSeq and is a predicted model, not a curated record. NCBI's taxonomy places the organism in Eukaryota, Metazoa, Chordata, Leptocardii, Amphioxiformes, Branchiostomatidae.